This 776-nucleotide ribosomal RNA is filed under the name uncultured Neocallimastigales. Its description in RNAcentral is "partial large subunit ribosomal RNA". It matches the Rfam family "Eukaryotic large subunit ribosomal RNA", at positions 26 to 637 of the family's 3401-position model. Lineage: Eukaryota; Fungi; Neocallimastigomycota; Neocallimastigomycetes; Neocallimastigales. The record is from RNAcentral.
CGCAUCUGUGCAUGCAGCAUAUCAAUAAGCGGAGGAAAAGAAACUAACAAGGAUUCCCCUCAGUAACGGCGAGUGAAGCGGGAAGAGCUCAAAUUUGAAAUCUUGAAAGGUCUACCUUGCACGAAUUGUAGUUUAAAGAAGUGUUUUCUGUUGACGAUCUGGUAAUAUAAGUUCUUUGGAAUAGGACAUCACAGAGGGUGAGAAUCCCGUCUAUGAUUGCGAUUUGUAGCUUUGUGAUACACUUUCAAAGAGUCGGGUUGUUUGGGAAUGCAGCCCAAAACGGGAGGUAAAUUUCUUCUAAGGCUAAAUAUUGGCGAGAGACCGAUAGCGAACAAGUACCGUGAGGGAAAGAUGAAAAGAACUUUGAAAAGAGAGUUAAAUAGUACGUGAAAUUGUCAAAAGGGAAGCGUUUAACACCAGUGUUGUUUUCUGAAAAUCAACCUCUGUUAGCUUUAUGCAUGUUUGUUUAGACCUAAUCAGCUAUCUUGCAUGUUCUAUUGUUUGCAGUGGUGCACUUUUCAGUUUACAGGUCAACAUCAGUUUUUUUUACCGUAAAAAAGUUAAAGAAAGGUAGCUCAUGGCUCCGGUCGUGAGUGUUAUAGUCUUUUUCCUAUGCGGUAGGAGAGACUGAGGUCUGCAGUGUAGGCUAUUUGGCUAGAUACUCAGGUGCUAUGUGAUACCAUUUCAUAAACAACUUGUUGAUUAUGUUUUGUCUAUUGCAUACUCGCUUGUACUAUCAUACCUACGCUUAGGAUGUUGACGAUCAGCUGAGCGCG